Molecule: ribosomal RNA, 429 nt
Filed under: Chloroflexota bacterium
Lineage: Bacteria; Bacillati; Chloroflexota
Description: Chloroflexi bacterium partial 16S ribosomal RNA
Rfam family: Bacterial small subunit ribosomal RNA
Source: RNAcentral
UGGGGAAUAUUGCACAAUGGGCGCAAGCCUGAUGCAGCCAUGCCGCGUGUGUGAAGAAGGCCUUCGGGUUGUAAAGCACUUUCAGCGGGGAGGAAGGCGAUAAGGUUAAUAACCUCAUCGAUUGACGUUACCCGCAGAAGAAGCACCGGCUAACUCCGUGCCAGCAGCCGCGGUAAUACGGAGGGUGCAAGCGUUAAUCGGAAUUACUGGGCGUAAAGCGCACGCAGGCGGUCUGUCAAGUCGGAUGUGAAAUCCCCGGGCUCAACCUGGGAACUGCAUUCGAAACUGGCAGGCUAGAGGCUUGUAGAGGGGGGUAGAAUUCCAGGUGUAGCGGUGAAAUGCGUAGAGAUCUGGGGGAAUACCGGUGGCGAAGGCGGCCCCCUGGACAAAGACUGACGCUCAGGUGCGAAAGCGUGGGGAGCAAACAGG